RNAcentral lists this non-coding RNA (25 nucleotides) under Drosophila melanogaster (fruit fly). Lineage: Eukaryota; Metazoa; Arthropoda; Insecta; Diptera; Drosophilidae. The record is from RNAcentral.
UUUAGUUCAAACGAAAGACCGGUGC